Molecule: transfer RNA, 71 nt
Filed under: Candidatus Pacearchaeota archaeon
Lineage: Archaea; Nanobdellati
Description: tRNA-Val
Rfam family: tRNA
About the family: Transfer RNA (tRNA) molecules are approximately 80 nucleotides in length. Their secondary structure includes four short double-helical elements and three loops (D, anti-codon, and T loops). Further hydrogen bonds mediate the characteristic L-shaped molecular structure. tRNAs have two regions of fundamental functional importance: the anti-codon, which is responsible for specific mRNA codon recognition, and the 3' end, to which the tRNAs corresponding amino acid is attached (by aminoacyl-tRNA synthetases). tRNAs cope with the degeneracy of the genetic code in two manners: having more than one tRNA (with a specific anti-codon) for a particular amino acid; and 'wobble' base-pairing, i.e. permitting non-standard base-pairing at the 3rd anti-codon position.
Source: RNAcentral
GGCCUUGUAGUCUAGUGGCAAAAUGCCUCUUUCACAUAGAGGAGUCCGCAGUUCGAUCCUGCGCAGGGCCA